Molecule: long non-coding RNA, 578 nt
Filed under: Trifolium pratense (red clover)
Lineage: Eukaryota; Viridiplantae; Streptophyta; Magnoliopsida; Fabales; Fabaceae
Description: long non-coding RNA (TPRA_LNC001222)
Source: RNAcentral
GAAAGAAAACUUGAUAUCUUAAUUAAAGUUCAGGGAGAUAUCUUUAAAAUUAAAAGAGAAGAAGACAAUCUAAAUGAUGCUCUUUUUUGCCUUAUUUCAAUACAAUCAACUUACAAGAACAGAUUAUAUAAGAUUAUUCAAAUAUCGAAGUAUGUGGGAACAUAAUCUAAUUCAACAUUGUUUCAACACAUCUACAUACGCGAUCCACACACCUUGGUUCACGGCCAAUGCUACAAUAGUUAUUUCGACAAUCAAUGUCUCUUCUACAUUUAAAAUUUUUUUUAGCUGUUAUGAAAAAAGAGAAGAUAAGAAUAUAAUUGAAAUGAGACAAUAUAUUCGGUAAUAAGUAAAGAAUAAAAUUUUCAAAAGAUAAAAAUUGUCUUACAAUAAUCCAUGUCCGCUGAAAGAAAAAAUACAGAAAGAAAGACAAUCAUAACAACAAACUUGACAAUUUCACACAUGUUUUCUCUCUUUACAUGUAACAAAUAGCUUUAUCACUUUAUGAUGUAUAAAUAUCAUUAUGCUUCAAAAAAAUAUUAUAAAUAUCGUUAUCUCCUUACGUCAAUUAAACAGUUUUU